RNAcentral lists this ribosomal RNA (301 nucleotides) under uncultured bacterium. RNAcentral's name for it is "partial 16S ribosomal RNA". It matches the Rfam family "Bacterial small subunit ribosomal RNA", at positions 509 to 807 of the family's 1533-position model. The record is from RNAcentral.
CAGUCGCCGCGGUAAUACGUAGGGUGCAAGCGUUAAUCGGAAUUACUGGGCGUAAAGCGUGCGCAGGCGGUUAUAUAAGACAGAUGUGAAAUCCCCGGGCUCAACCUGGGAACUGCAUUUGAAACUGGCAGGCUAGAGUCUUGUAGAGGGGGGUAGAAUUCCAGGUGUAGCGGUGAAAUGCGUAGAGAUCUGGAGGAAUACCGGUGGCGAAGGCGGCCCCCUGGACAAAGACUGACGCUCAGGUGCGAAAGCGUGGGGAGCAAACAGGAUUAGAUACCCCGGUAGUCCCUGUCUCUUAUAC